CAGUAGCCGCGGUAAAACGAGGGGGGCAAGCGUUGUUCGGAUUUAUUGGGCGUAAAGGGUGCGUAGGCGGUUUGGUAAGUCUUGUGUGAAAGCCCCGGGCUCAACCGGGGAGGGUCAUUGGAAACUGGGAAACUUGAGUGCAGAAGAGGAGAGUGGAAUUCCACGUGUAGCGGUGAAAUGCGUAGAGAUGUGGAGGAACACCAGUGGCGAAGGCGACUCUCUGGUCUGUAACUGACGCUGAGGAGCGAAAGCGUGGGGAGCGAACAGGAUUAGAUACCCCUGUAGUCCCUGUCUCUUAUAC
Molecule: ribosomal RNA, 301 nt
Filed under: uncultured bacterium
Lineage: Bacteria
Description: partial 16S ribosomal RNA
Rfam family: Bacterial small subunit ribosomal RNA
Source: RNAcentral